Molecule: ribosomal RNA, 429 nt
Filed under: Haemaphysalis longicornis (longhorned tick)
Lineage: Eukaryota; Metazoa; Arthropoda; Arachnida; Ixodida; Ixodidae
Description: Eukaryotic small subunit ribosomal RNA
Rfam family: Eukaryotic small subunit ribosomal RNA
Source: Rfam by way of RNAcentral
AUGUGUGGGAUGAAUGUGAGCUUUUUGUCAAAGAGUAUGGGAGGAUUGACAGAUUGAGAGCUCUUUCUUGAUUCGGUGGAUGGUGGUGCAUGGCCGUUCUUAGUUGGUGGAGCGAUUUGUCUGGUUAAUUCCGAUAACGAACGAGACUCUAGCCUAUUAAAUAGGUGCGGGGUUCCCAGCACCUUACAACCUUCUUAGAGGGACAAGCGGCUCCUAGCCGCACGAAACAGAGCAAUAACAGGUCUGUGAUGCCCUUAGAUGUCCGGGGCCGCACGCGCGCUACACUGAAGGAGGCAGCGUGUUUUUUUCCCUGUCUGAAAAGACUGGUAACCCGUGGAACUUCCUUCGUGAUUGGGAUAGGGGCUUGCAAUUGUUCCCCUUGAACGAGGAAUUCCCAGUAAGCGCGAGUCAUAAGCUCGCGUUGAUUAC